UUUAGCCUAGAGCAUUCGUUAAGGAUUCAUAAUUGAACCUACACUUUAACAUCGGGAAUCCGAGUUCAUUCGGCCUAUGUCAAGCCGCCAACUAGAGUGGAAGACAGAAGUCGGUGACAGGGUACCCACCUAUCAUUAUGAUAGGGCGUCAAUUAUAUCCUGACGGUGCAUCUGGGUUUUUA
Molecule: non-coding RNA, 182 nt
Filed under: Emergencia timonensis
Lineage: Bacteria; Bacillati; Bacillota; Clostridia; Peptostreptococcales; Anaerovoracaceae
Also listed under: 1 other name
Description: 6S / SsrS RNA
Rfam family: 6S / SsrS RNA
About the family: E. coli 6S RNA was the first non coding RNA to be sequenced, but its function was unknown until recently. It consists of 184 nucleotides that fold into an extended hairpin structure with a large single-stranded internal bulge.
Source: Rfam by way of RNAcentral